Molecule: long non-coding RNA, 527 nt
Organism: Zonotrichia leucophrys gambelii
Lineage: Eukaryota; Metazoa; Chordata; Aves; Passeriformes; Passerellidae
Exons: 4
Source: RefSeq, a predicted model, not a curated record
GGAGAAGCUGCUCCUGUAAAGAGAGGGAAAGCAUCCCCAAGCUUGCUACUGGCUCUCUGAGUGCUGCAAGUGCCAUUUUCCAGAAAGUGCACCAUGCCUGAAGAUGCUCAGACACCACACAUGCUCCUGGUGCUGCAGGGUGCUUAGGGUUUCAGUAACAGGGUAUUAUGGAUGGCAAAUGCUUACCAGUCCAGGGACAAAGCUAUGGAAGAGAAGUUCCACAAUGACUCAGAGUCAUGAAAAGCAGCAACAGCAGCUGAUGUGAAUAAUUUAGGAUGACACUGAAGACUUCCACCAAAAUUGGAGAAGGGCAAAGAACAUGCAGGGAUCAGUAGGAUCUCUUGGUUUUUACUGAUUAGUUAGAGUUGAAUGGGACCAUAAAGAAAAGUAAUUUUAUUAGAUGUCAUCAUUCUGCUGUGAUCCUCACUUUAGACUGAAAUCAAUCUGCACAAUCCCAAAAUUAUGGUGAUCACACAUUAGUGGCAAGAAGAAGCAUGAAGUUGUCUUUUAUUUCUCCUGUAUGUUAG